This 587-nucleotide ribosomal RNA is filed under the name Shewanella sp. S-RA-9. Its description in RNAcentral is "bacterial SSU rRNA". It matches the Rfam family "Bacterial small subunit ribosomal RNA", at positions 376 to 953 of the family's 1533-position model. The record is from RNAcentral. Lineage: Bacteria; Pseudomonadati; Pseudomonadota; Gammaproteobacteria; Alteromonadales; Shewanellaceae.
GGGAACCCUGAUGCAGCCAUGCCGCGUGUGUGAAGAAGGCCCUAGGGUUGUAAAGCACUUUCAGUAGGGAGGAAAGGUAGUUGUUUAAUAAACAACUGCUGUGACGUUUCCUACAGAAGAAGGACCGGCUAACUUCGUGCCAGCAGCCGCGGUAAUACGAGGGGUCCAAGCGUUAAUCGGAAUUACUGGGCGUAAAGCGUACGCAGGCGGUUCAUUAAGCCAGAUGUGAAAUCCCCGGGCUCAACCUGGGAAUUGCAUUUGGAACUGGUGAACUAGAGUCUUGUAGAGGGGGGUAGAAUUUCAGGUGUAGCGGUGAAAUGCGUAGAGAUCUGAAGGAAUACCGGUGGCGAAGGCGGCCCCCUGGACAAAGACUGACGCUCAUGUACGAAAGCGUGGGGAGCAAACAGGAUUAGAUACCCUGGUAGUCCACGCCGUAAACGAUGUCUACUCGGAGUUUGGUGCCUUGAGCACUGGGCUCCCAAGCUAACGCAUUAAGUAGACCGCCUGGGGAGUACGGCCGCAAGGUUAAAACUCAAAUGAAUUGACGGGGGCCCGCACAAGCGGUGGAGCAUGUGGUUUUAAAUUCG